Molecule: ribosomal RNA, 292 nt
Filed under: uncultured bacterium
Lineage: Bacteria
Description: partial 16S ribosomal RNA
Rfam family: Bacterial small subunit ribosomal RNA
Source: RNAcentral
GUGUCAGCAGCCGCGGUAAUACAGAGGGUGCGAGCGUUAAUCGGAAUUACUGGGCGUAAAGGGUGCGUAGGUGGUUUGAUAAGUCAGAUGUGAAAUCCCCGGGCUUAACCUGGGAAUUGCAUUUGAUACUGUCAGACUAGAGUGUGAUAGAGGUAAGCGGAAUUCCCGGUGUAGCGGUGAAAUGCGUAGAUAUCGGGAGGAACAUCAGUGGCGAAGGCGGCUUACUGGAUCAACACUGACACUGAGGCACGAAAGCGUGGGUAGCAAACAGGAUUAGAUACCCUGGUAGUCC